Molecule: long non-coding RNA, 791 nt
Organism: Xiphophorus couchianus (Monterrey platyfish)
Lineage: Eukaryota; Metazoa; Chordata; Actinopteri; Cyprinodontiformes; Poeciliidae
Exons: 2
Source: RefSeq, a predicted model, not a curated record
AACUAGUAUUUAUUACUUUUAUUCUCAUCACUUUAAAACAUGUACUUAUGACUUGCUGUUAUUUUUUUUUUCAUGGCAGGAAUGGGCUUCCAUACAGAUUUCCAAGGCUGUCAUUAAAAGUCUGCCAACGUUUUCAUCAAUAAAAGUGACAUGAAGCAGCAGAAAGUGAGAAGACGGAGUCAGGGCGAGUCGUCUGGGCUGAUCUGUGGCCUGCGGCGAAUUUAACGAGCAGAGACUCGAUGGAGAGAAACAAUCCAGAGGAAGAAGCACUUCAGAGGAGGCAGACGAGGCAGGAAGUGCGGCACACAGUUUCCUGCCUGACCUUUUCAGCGGAUCAAUAAGUCAUGAGGCCGUCAGGAGUUCUGACAGCUUCAGCGGCGAUGAACAAGCUGAGAGAGACGGAGCUGCUGCUAAAUAAUGAAUGAGUUGUUUACUGUCUAACAGGUCUGGACGGCUUCAGGCCGCAGACACAGACGGCUUCUUCUGUAAAUGCUAACCAGGCGGUUAGCAUCAUCUGCUACUGACUGGGUCCAAACAUCUCACCGAACCGAACCAGAGACGUUUCAACUGGAUUAAAUUUAACAGCAGCAGCAGAAUUUCACUGCUGCGUUUCAGAUGGAAGCAGAAGAAAAGUUCAGGUUUUACAGCCGAAAGGAGAGAAAAGAGGUUCGGUUCAGUGAGGUCCAGUUAGAUUCUGGUGGAUCCACUGAACCAGGGAGGAGUUCUCACUCUAAGAGAAAAACCCAGACUUCCCUGGACAGGUAUGGAAGACCAUUUCUGCCAUGAAAGGA